Long non-coding RNA from Oreochromis niloticus (Nile tilapia), 1830 nucleotides. The record is from Ensembl. Lineage: Eukaryota; Metazoa; Chordata; Actinopteri; Cichliformes; Cichlidae.
UGUAGUUCAAACAACUUUAGCGUUAAAUAUUCUCCAGUUAGCAGUGACGCUGAUAAAAAUGUGUGCAGUCAUCUUUCACCAUCUUUCAAUGCUGUGAUUGCAGCCAUUCCCCAACUCUCUGUGAAUGGUACUCAUGGCCAUUCGAGAAUCUGUGUCUUUGAUUAGUAGUCGUUGAUCAAUGGUCAUAAGAAUUUGCAUACUAACAAUCAUGGAACUAACCCCCCAGCACAUUGUUCAUUCAGUGGUGCUAGUUUCCUUCGCUGUGCAAAUGUACUGCUUAUAAGGUUGGGGAAACCUGCAGUCAGCUGAGACUGAAGAAGUCACUUGGAUGAGUGACAAAACGUUUCUCCCACUGAAAAUGUCCAAAUGAACAGAAUCAACCUUUUGGAAUUUACUUACCUGGAUGAUUGAGCACGCAUCAAGACAUUAUUUUAUUAAUAUUUUUGAAAUGAUAGCAGCACAAACGAAAAUUUUUGCAGCACAAACCAGCACAAACGUUUGAUACCACUUUUGUUGGAUUUGAAGAAAGGGGGGGGCAACUUCACUCACGUGAUCUCCUAAUAUCACACCACAAAUUAUAAUUGUGUAACUAUGUCACAUUAUUGGAAACUGAAAGCAGCAGAGCCUGUUGCAAAAAAGCUGUCACAACAAUCGUCAUGUGAUUGACUGAUACGGAACAAAUCCAAGCGAAGAUGAUAAGUGAUAAAAACCUGCUUUAAAUCCAAACACUUACAACAAUGUGUGGAUGGACGCGUGGAUCAGGUACAUGUGUCACACUGCAAAGUCAAUAUUAGUUUCUGAAGGUGGUUACGGGUUUCACCUGCGCAUCCUCACAACUUUAUCUCUAUGUGACGGCACCCAAGCUGUUGCAAUUUAGAAUAUCAGCCACUUGUCAUGUUAAUGAGGGCUAAAUAAAGCUGAGACAGAAAAUGGCCGGUGUGAAAGCUGCUGAGCUGAUCGUCAUCUGUUUCAUGCUGCUACAAGGCUUUGUGGCAGCUUUCAACUGCACCAGCCCAACUCCUGCCGCCCUGUUUGAUCAACUCGCAAAACAUUUGUUCUCUAACAAACUGCUGCGUCCCGUCGAAACCUUUGCAAAGCCAAUAAACAUAUCCAUCAGCAUAACAGUGGCAGGAAUUUUAGGAGUGGUGAGUCUACACAGCUUAUACACAAAAUAUUAACAUCAUGUCAUCUAUGUGGAACUAAUAAUCCUUAUGACUCUAAUAUACUUUCUAAUGUUACUCAUCUUUAGGAUGAAAAAACCCAAACACUGUCUUCAGUCUUAUGGCAGGUCCUGGUAUGUCUUGAACAGCUCUCAGAACUAAAACAAUAAUGUCACAUUUCUUAUAUGAUUAUACUGACAUUUUGUAAAUUAUUUCUGUUGCAGCUGUUUGUAUUUUCAGCACAAUGAACCAAUCCAGAGCGAUUAUAAGAAUGAAUCAAAAUGUUUGGCCACUGAAUUAAUACAUAAAGAAUACAUUACUUGUUCUUUUAGAUUUCCUUAAGUCUGUAACAGUAAUUUCAAAUAUUUAUUAUCAGUUGGGAACUUUUUCUUAUAGUCUAACAUGACUUAAUACCAGAUGUUGUGUUUCCCUGUUUCAGCAGUUAACAUGAUAGCUGUAGUGCUGUGGAACAGUUUUGCUGUUGUUCUGUUUAAUGUAGGAGUGGAUAUCGAAGGACUGAACUGGGAUGAGAAGGAAUGUGCAGCUAAAAGAGUUUCGGUUCCUCGGGACAACCUUUGGGUCCCAGACAUUCAAAUAAAACAGCUGUAAGUUUAAUGAAUUUUGUAAAUCAAGUCGAAGAAAUUAACUUUUAAUUAAAACACUAAAAAUG